CCACCGCAAGGGUAAGACCCCAGAAAGACUCUCUGGCUGAUAGGUCGAAGGUGUAAGUGCAGCAAUGUAUUUAGCUUAUCGAUACUAAUAGGUCGAGGACUUGACCAA
RNAcentral lists this ribosomal RNA (108 nucleotides) under Clostridioides difficile. RNAcentral's name for it is "partial 23S ribosomal RNA". It matches the Rfam family "Bacterial large subunit ribosomal RNA", at positions 2815 to 2925 of the family's 2925-position model. Lineage: Bacteria; Bacillati; Bacillota; Clostridia; Peptostreptococcales; Peptostreptococcaceae. The record is from RNAcentral.